Molecule: unclassified non-coding RNA, 386 nt
Filed under: uncultured bacterium
Lineage: Bacteria
Description: contains 16S-23S intergenic spacer region
Source: RNAcentral
ACAACGGCAAGGAAUGCUGCUACUCUCCCUCCGCCACCAUUAAUGUAGCCAUGACCCUCGACACCAACUACCUCCGCGACACUAUGCUUCACCAUAGCAUAUUAUUGUUGUUAGGACCGCACCGACGACCAGUGUGUUUUCGCACCGCACCUUGGCUCUUCAUAUCAACACCAUAAAGCUUGGCUAUGUCGUCAACCACCACCAGGUCAGAGUCCAAAUAUAUCACGUGUUUCACGUCUUCUGGUAUGGUAUCGGUAAGGUAUAUUCUGGCGUAAUUCAGGGGCUGGUCCAAGGCCUGUCGAAUGGACUUGGAUAUCUUGUCGCAGACCCUGUUGGAGUCAAACCGAUAAAUCUUCAUCUUGAGGUAAAGGAAGGUGGGGAUGACG